Long non-coding RNA from Cicer arietinum (chickpea), 660 nucleotides. RefSeq lists it as uncharacterized. The record is from RefSeq and is a predicted model, not a curated record. Lineage: Eukaryota; Viridiplantae; Streptophyta; Magnoliopsida; Fabales; Fabaceae.
AAUCGUCUGAAGCAUGGAAGAAAUUUUAAUUUGGCAGCAACAAGCUCAUCAUCAAGGUCAACCAAUAAAGCCCAUAUUCCUUUACCAUCUGGAGUGUCCACUUGUAACUUAGGAACAAAAGAUGUCCCAACACCACCAUUGAAUGUGAAUAAUGAAGAGUCAGAGUUUUUCCAAGACUUUCCAAAUGAGUUAACCAUCGGUACAGGUUUAGAAUUUUUUCAUCCUCCUCCACCUGAUUCAAUGGAUCAAUAUUUCCAACCAGGUGCAACUCAAUUCGACGGCUUCCUAAAAAUGUUCGACGACCAUUCUUAUUGCGAUUUUAAUGACAUCAAUCUUCAUGAAUUUGAUCAAUUUAAUCAAAUGUCAGAGACAAUUCUAGAUGGAUGAGAUGACAGCUUCAAUGAAAUUUAUUCUAAGGUACUACUACUGAUCAAUUCGAAUCGUUCUGUUAUGCAUACUGCAAUUCUGUUUGCAGUUGCUAUACACAUGUCAUUAGAAAAUUCAAUUUACAUUGAAAAUUACUGUUUUUUUUUUCUUCCUUUUAAUUUGCAAUAACAGACACUGUCCUAUGUGAUUUGGUUUCUUUGUAGGCAUGCAAACGGGUGGAUUGGGGGCGGGUUUUGUUCCCCCGUUUCAGCCCUGUCUGUUUUCAAUAAUCGA